Molecule: ribosomal RNA, 342 nt
Filed under: Poecilobothrus chrysozygos
Lineage: Eukaryota; Metazoa; Arthropoda; Insecta; Diptera; Dolichopodidae
Description: partial 12S ribosomal RNA
Source: RNAcentral
AAAAUUGUAUAAUUUAAAAAAUCAGAGUAGUAUUAGUUAAGGUCUUGAAACUUAAAAAAUUUGGCGGUAUUUUAGUCUAUUUAGAGGAACCUGUAGUAUAAUCGAUAAUCCACGAUGGACCUCACUUAAUUUUGUUUUUCAGUUUGUAUACCGCUGUUAUUUGAAAAUUUUAUAAGAAAAAUAAUUUUCAUAAUUUUAUAUAAAAAAGUAAAUCAGGUCAAGGUGCAGCUUAUAAUUAAGUAUUUAUGGGUUACAAUAAAAUUAUUUAAAUGGAUAAGAGUAUGAAAAUUAUUUUUUGAAAGUGGAUUUAAUAGUAAAUUUUUAAAGAUAAAAAAAUUGAUU